This 463-nucleotide ribosomal RNA is filed under the name uncultured bacterium. RNAcentral's name for it is "SSU rRNA". It matches the Rfam family "Bacterial small subunit ribosomal RNA", at positions 26 to 518 of the family's 1533-position model. The record is from RNAcentral.
AGGAUUAACGCUGGCGGCGUGCCUGACACAUGCAAGUCGAACGAGGCCGCAAGGCCGAGUGGCGGACGGGUGAGUAACACGUGACCAACCAACCUCGAAGUUGGGAAUAGCUCUGCGAAAGUAGGGGUAAUACCGAAUGUGGCCCAGGGCGGGCAUCCGCCUUGGUCUAAAGAUUCAUCGCUUCGAGACGGGGUCGCGGCCUAUUAGCUUGUUGGUGAGGUAACGGCUCACCAAGGCGAUGAUGGGUAGCUGGUCUGAGAGGACGACCAGCCACACUGGGACUGAGACACGGCCCAGACUCCUACGGGAGGCAGCAGUGAGGAAUCUUCCGCAAUGGGCGAAAGCCUGACGGAGCAACGCCGCGUGUGGGAUGAAGACUCUAGGGUUGUAAACCACUGCCGGAGGGACGAUCGUGACGGUACCCUCCAAGAAACGCCCCGGCUAACUACGCGCCAGCAGCCGC